GAAUGUGAUUUUGAAAAACAUUUGUUUUGUCUUAUAUUGAUAUUUGAUACCUACAGCGAGCAGUGUCCUGCCAAAACACGUGAAGAAGCAGAAUCAGCAUUUU
Corvus hawaiiensis (hawaiian crow) is the source of this 103-nucleotide long non-coding RNA. RefSeq lists it as uncharacterized. NCBI's taxonomy places the organism in Eukaryota, Metazoa, Chordata, Aves, Passeriformes, Corvidae. The transcript is spliced from 3 exons. The record is from RefSeq and is a predicted model, not a curated record.